This 149-nucleotide unclassified non-coding RNA is filed under the name uncultured Tubeufiaceae. RNAcentral describes it as "sequence contains ITS2". Lineage: Eukaryota; Fungi; Ascomycota; Dothideomycetes; Tubeufiales; Tubeufiaceae. The record is from RNAcentral.
CAACCCUCAAGCUUCUGCUUGGUAUUGGGCCCCGUCCGCCUCGGACGUGCCCGAAACUCGUAGGCGGUGGCGCCCAGCUCCCAGCGUAGUCAAGUACACCGCUUCGGAGGCCUGGGUGUCGCCCGCCGGACAACCACAUCUUUCUCAAG